UACGGAGGGGGCAAGCGUUGUUCGGAAUCACUGGGUGUAAAGGGUGCGUAGGCGGUCCGAUAAGUCUGAUGUGAAAGCCCUGGGCUCAACUCAGGAACUGCAUUGGAUACUGACGGACUGGAGUACCGGAGAGGGAAGCGGAAUUCCUGGUGUAGCGGUGAAAUGCGUAGAUACCAGGAGGAACACCGGUGGCGAAAGCGGUUUCCUGGCCGAGUACUGACGCUGAGGCACGAAAGCGUGGGGAGCGAACGGGAUUAGAUACCCCGGUAGUCCACGCUGUAAACGAUGGGUGCUAGGUGUUGGAGGUAUCGACCCCUUCAGUGCCGUAGCUAACGCUUUAAGCACCCCACCUGGGGAGUACGUUCGCAAGAAUGAA
RNAcentral lists this ribosomal RNA (376 nucleotides) under uncultured bacterium. Its description in RNAcentral is "bacterial SSU rRNA". It matches the Rfam family "Bacterial small subunit ribosomal RNA", at positions 524 to 898 of the family's 1533-position model. The record is from RNAcentral.